Molecule: ribosomal RNA, 435 nt
Filed under: uncultured bacterium
Lineage: Bacteria
Description: partial 16S ribosomal RNA
Rfam family: Bacterial small subunit ribosomal RNA
Source: RNAcentral
GAUGAACGCUGGCGGUAUGCUUAACACAUGCAAGUCGAACGGACUCUUCGGAGUUAGUGGCGGACGGGUGAGUAACGCGUGAGAAUCUGGCUUUGGGUUCGGGACAACCACUGGAAACGGUGGCUAAUACCGGAUGUGCCGAGAGGUAAAAGAGAAAUUGCCUGAAGAUGAGCUCGCGUCUGAUUAGCUAGUUGGUGAGGUAAAGGCUCACCAAGGCAGCGAUCAGUAGCUGGUCUGAGAGGAUGACCAGCCACACUGGGACUGAGACACGGCUCAGACUCCUACGGGAGGCAGCAGUGGGGAAUUUUCCGCAAUGGGCGAAAGCCUGACGGAGCAAUACCGCGUGAGGGAAGAAGGCUCUUGGGGUGUAAACCUCUUUUCUUAGGGAAGAACAAAAUGACGGUACCUAAGGAAUCAGCAUCGGCUAACUCCGUG